UACAGGGGGUGCAAACGUUGCUCGGAAUCAUUGGGCGUAAAGCGCGCGCAGGCGGUCCUUUAAGUCUGAUGUGAAAGCCCACGGCUCAACCGUGGAGGGUCAUUGGAAACUGGGGGACUUGAGUGCAGAAGAGGAGAGUGGAAUUCCACGUGUAGCGGUGAAAUGCGUAGAGAUGUGGAGGAACACCUGUGGCGAAAGCGGCUCACUGGACCACAACUGACGCUGAUGCGCGAAAGCUAGGGGAGCAAACAGG
RNAcentral lists this ribosomal RNA (253 nucleotides) under uncultured bacterium. RNAcentral's name for it is "partial 16S ribosomal RNA". It matches the Rfam family "Bacterial small subunit ribosomal RNA", at positions 524 to 776 of the family's 1533-position model. The record is from RNAcentral.